AGUGAGCUUUUUGGAGAAGAGACUGUCUUCCUAUGCACCGGGACAGCCCCUGGUGCUUCUUCAGUGCUACUGUAAUUCAAGAACAUGGCAAAUAAAAAGAUGGAAAUAUUCUCCCCUCUGGAAGCUGUGCAAAUCUGUGCUGUGCUGGAGGACUGUCUUGAUCAGCUUGCUAUUCUUGGAUAUAUUAUGCCAGUUUCCUAUGAGGGCAGGACAGACAUCAGCAAUAUUGAUGCCCAAGAAAUUAGUGAAAUCGUCAAGAGCCAGAAGGACUUGGGGGUUAAGUUUGAACAGCUCAUGUCAGCAAGGUCAGAGAACAGGCCAACAGUUCCCUCCGAGUCACUGAAGUUCACAGAACUGGGGCAGCAGCUGCAGGAGACGAGUGGAGAUCUAAAAAGGGCCAAUCAUCUUUUUAGUAGGGCUGCAAAACAGAGUGCUGUGUCCUCCGAUAACCUCAGAAAAGUUCAAGCUGAUAGGCAGUAUGCGAGCGAUGUGAUUGCAGAAACUCUGCAGGAAAUGCAGACUUCAGGAACGUUUCAGAGCCUGCUGCAAGCUGUGCAGAGAGAGAAGGAGAGGAAGUCUAACUUCCACACCACCAUCAUCAGGGAGGAGGAAGGAAGGAAGGAGAUAAAGUCCCUCCAGAAAUGGCUGCAAGAUGUCAAGAAAGAAAAGGAAUUAGAACUUCAGAACCGGAAUGAGAUGAUUGCAUACCUCAAAGACCAGCUUCAAGAGAUGAAGGCCAAGACAGACAUGGAGAGCCGCUAUGUGAAGAAAGACACAGAGCUCCAGGUCUACCAGACCCAGAAAAAGUGCAGCAAUGCAGAGAGUGACCUGUUCAAUGAAAUUGAGAAGCUGAGGAUCAAAACUGAUGAGGAGAUUAGAGUCCACGUGGAGAUUGAAAAUUUCCUCAGGCAACAACAGAUGUGUCACAGUAUGUCUCCCACACAGAAGUUGGAAGAGAAGCUAGAAUAUUGGAUGGAGAAGUAUGAAAAGGACACGGAAUCUAAACAGCAAGAACUGAACACUCUAAAAGCAUCCAAGGCAAAUGAUUUAGCAGCACUGCAGGAACUAGCCAAGCAGUGCCGGUUAUUUGAACAAGCCAUCAUGGAGGAUCGGGUGGAAAAGGAGGCAGCGAGAAGAAAGGUGGAGCAGGAUGCGCUGGAAUUAAAGAGCGUCAAGAAGCUCCAGGCCUGGUGGAGAGGCACAAUGGUUCGCCAUAACAUCGGCCCCUAUAAGGCCCUCAAGAAGUCUAAAGAGGACGAGCCAAAGGGCAAAGACGAAGGGAAAAAGGGAAAAGCUGGAGCUAAGAAAAAGAAGUGAUGGCCAUAGACUCCUGCUCUCAUUAGACCCACGGGGCCCUGGAAGUUUGGGCUCUCGCCAGGGAGGAACACUGGCUUGUGUGCACAGAGUAAAAAAUAAAGUCCUCAGCAGAGUUCAGGGCCAGGGCUCUGGGCCAGGCUGGAGUUCAUUUUCUUGACAGGAAGAAGUUUAAGAUGAAGUUUCUUGCACAGGUCUGACCUCUCCAGCUCAAGGUGCCAUGGAAACAGAAUCCACAUCAGAAUCGGUGACUGAGGCAGAGGACUGAGGUCAGGAAAUCCCGUAAUUUCUAAGUUCUUUACUGAGCUGGGUAUUACCCUCUUUUUACAGAUGUGAAACCUGAAGCACAGUGAAGCGGCUUGCCCAACGUCAUACAGCAAAUCAGUGGCCGAAUGGCUCAGGAUGGUAUUAGUCAUGGGACAGGCAGUGUCAUUUUUAGGCUACUUAAUCAAAUUCAGCCUACUUUAGUAAGCAGCUGAAAGUUACCGUACAAUGACUUUUCAGUGAGCUAUAUAAAAUGACAUGGAAGGUCUCCGUGUAGUUCUCAGCAGAGAGGUAUCUAUGGCACACCACCACCACCACCACCAAGCGGCAGCCAUACAGGCUGUUACAACUCAGCAGAGCCGUCAAGGACUAAAUGGAAUGUCAACCGUUCUCUCAGCCCAGCAAUGGCUCCUCAGGUGUGAGGGAAGACCAGGACACAGAGGGGAAGAUUACACUACUCCUGCUUACCUGCAAUACUCAGCUGUAGAUAAAAAUGGAGGACUUCACUCUUCAGGGCUGCCAAUUCUGUUGCUUGGCUCAGUAUUAAAGUUCAUCAAAAAAAUUAAAAGGUUUAAAAAGCAAAGAAGCCAAGAAGUUCUUGGUGCAAGGAGAGGAAGGCUCAUUAUUGCUGGGAAAAGGUUGUCAACGCUUCACCUAGAACAAUCUACAACAGGUGCAUCCCUGAGUUUUUAAUUUAUAGCCAACUCUGCCUGUGAACUCUAAGGAACCUCUUCACCACCACUUAUCUACAGCCCCAACAAUAAGAUGGAUGCCUGACGGACAGAAGAUAAAGCACCUGCCUUGAAAGUCGUACAAUAUUACAUGUAAAAAUGCAAGGAAAUAGAGUGCAACAGAGCUGCAUGAGUGAAAGAUGGAGUCUCGCAUGGUUCUUAGUACAGUCACUAUUUUUGUUUGGAUUUUGCAGGGGAAGAUCAGGCAUCCAAAACUAAAGCUUCUCCAUGUGGAAGGGGGACUAGGCCUUCUGGAGGAAGUGCGUUUUAAGGAGGCACACAGAGGAACAGGUGUGAGCCUCGUAGGACAGUCAAGAAGAGAUGCCAAGUAUAGAGGGCCAGGGACGGCAUGAAGAAUGGACUGUGGUAUAGGAGGUCAAAUUAGAUGAUCUGGUGGUUAGUCUCUUCUGGCCUUAAGCUCUAUGACUGACUGAGAGAAGAUCACACAAGGGGUGAUUAAGUCAUGAGGCUGGGGCAGAGCAGAGGGAGGCCGGACCCAAGCUGUACAGGGUCCUGAGGGUGAAAACACGGAGCCUGAAAACUGAUGCAAAAGUCAAGAGGCCGUUGGUCAAGGGAUCUGAAGAGUGGACCUGGAGUGGGGGACAUGGCC
Mauremys mutica (yellowpond turtle) is the source of this 2919-nucleotide RNA transcript. It is a transcript of the gene named IQ motif containing G, with no coding region annotated. The record is from RefSeq and is a predicted model, not a curated record. The transcript has 11 exons. Lineage: Eukaryota; Metazoa; Chordata; Testudines; Geoemydidae.